Globicephala melas (long-finned pilot whale) is the source of this 1343-nucleotide long non-coding RNA. RefSeq lists it as uncharacterized. The record is from RefSeq and is a predicted model, not a curated record. Lineage: Eukaryota; Metazoa; Chordata; Mammalia; Artiodactyla; Delphinidae.
UCACUCAAGACUUCUUUCUUUCAGGAGGACAGGAUAGCCAUCACUGGAGGCGUGUGGGACCCCAGGACACAACUGAAAACGGGUCUGCGUGGUUUGAUGGUCCUGUGUUAGAAAAUCGGGGUGAUCUGACUACCUGGGUUUGGAGAUGGGCAUCUUGUUUUCUGGCAGAAUUGAGGAAAGCAAGGCUGCUUUGGGCUGUGUGUAAAUUGUAAACUGGUUCUCAGAACAGACUCCAGGUCACACCUAUCUGAAGCCGGCUUGACGGCAGGGAGAGCUGGAGAGCGGAAGAAUGUGCUGAGAAAGGGAGUGCUCGGUACUUUUCCAUUCACAUCUCCACAGUGGCUUUUCUUGUUUAUUUCAACCUCCACCAGCGGAACCCUGUCAGCUGCCUGAAAUCCGAGUCAUUAAACUGUUCCCUGAGAAACAACGAUGCUACACUAGCAAAGAGCCCACCUGGUACCAGAUCUUGAUUUCUGAUACUUCUGUGCAGUAAUGGAAAACAAGGCUCCUUGGAGAAACGUCUGGUUCUAGAUCUAGAACUGGGGCAAGAAGUAUUCAAAAUCAGAAUGGAACAUCUUAUAGCAUCAUAAAUAAAGAAUUGCUGAAAAACAAACAAAAACUACAUCGAUGGGGCAUAUUUCAAAGAGACACUGGAGCCACUUGAAGAGCUCCCAAUGGGCAAAGCUGGAAGAUUUGGAGUAAAAAAAAAGAAAUCAAGUCAUAUUAGAUUACAAUCCAAAGUCUAAAAGAAAUAUCCAUGAAUCCACACUGAUAUAAAUUAUUAAAUAAAUUAAUAAAUCAGAGAAAAGAGACAAAUCUCCCUUGAAGAAAAAUUCCAAAUCAUUUAUGUAGAUACACUGCCAGCAAGGAUGGGGGCAGGGGGUGGUGUGUAACUCCUCACUCCUCAGGUGUGAGCUAUGCACAGUGACUUCCUUCCAAAGAGUACAGUAUGGGAAGGGAGGAAAGGAGGGAGGGAAUCAUUUUACAUGGAGAAACCUGACAAACACUACACCAGCCAAUUCACCAAGGUGAACAUCAGCAAUUAUAAGCCAUGUUGAUUGUUAUGUACCUUUGAUCUGAGGAGAUGAAAAUGGCUUUUUACCUCUGUGGUCUUCCUCCCACACCCCAGUCUAUUUAUGAGAAAAGUCUCAGACAAGUUUCAACAGAAGGGCAUCCUACAAAAGACGUCACCAGUAUUCCACAGAACUAUCAAGGAAAGUCUGAGAAAUUGCAGCAGCUGAGAGCAACCUCAGAAGAUAUGACAGCUUAAUGUAAUGUAGUAUCCUGGAUGGGAUCAUGAAACAGAAAAAGAUAAGGUAAACCCAGACAAAUCUGAAUAAAUG